UACAGAGGUCCCAAGCGUUGUUCGGAUUUACUGGGCGUAAAGCGUGCGUAGGUGGCGGAAAAAGUUUGACGUGAAAGCUCUGGGCUCAACCCGGAAAAUGCGUUGAAAACUGUUUCGCUUGAGGGUCAGAGGGGAGACUGGAAUUCUCGGUGUAGCGGUGAAAUGCGUAGAUAUCGAGAGGAACACCAGUGGCGAAGGCGAGUCUCUGGAUGACACCUGACACUGAGGCACGAAAGCUAGGGGAGCGAAC
Molecule: ribosomal RNA, 250 nt
Filed under: uncultured bacterium
Lineage: Bacteria
Description: partial 16S ribosomal RNA
Rfam family: Bacterial small subunit ribosomal RNA
Source: RNAcentral